GAAGUCUUAGCUUAAUUAAAGCAUUUGCUUUGCAAGCAAAAUAUGUGGGUUAAUACCCCGCAGAUUUUA
This 69-nucleotide transfer RNA is filed under the name Symphurus orientalis (pygmy tongue-sole). RNAcentral describes it as "tRNA-Ala". It matches the Rfam family "tRNA". From Rfam's summary of the family: Transfer RNA (tRNA) molecules are approximately 80 nucleotides in length. Their secondary structure includes four short double-helical elements and three loops (D, anti-codon, and T loops). Further hydrogen bonds mediate the characteristic L-shaped molecular structure. tRNAs have two regions of fundamental functional importance: the anti-codon, which is responsible for specific mRNA codon recognition, and the 3' end, to which the tRNAs corresponding amino acid is attached (by aminoacyl-tRNA synthetases). tRNAs cope with the degeneracy of the genetic code in two manners: having more than one tRNA (with a specific anti-codon) for a particular amino acid; and 'wobble' base-pairing, i.e. permitting non-standard base-pairing at the 3rd anti-codon position. Lineage: Eukaryota; Metazoa; Chordata; Actinopteri; Pleuronectiformes; Cynoglossidae. The record is from RNAcentral.